AAGACACAUUUAUCUAGUGCUCGCUUUAUGCCAGAUACAUCGUAAGUAAGAAAGACAUGGUCCCUGCGGUCCUAGAACUUGCUGGCUAGAGGAGAGAAAGGAGAAAUGCCAUGUUUUGUAACUUCUAAUCAUGCUGUGACUUGUUCAUUUUCCCAAAGGGAUUUCCAUGCAUUUUGAACUGAACGGUUCCCUUGGCUGACAACCCAGGGCACAACUCCUGCUUCCGUGAGUGCCUAAUACAAGAGUUGAAGCUCCCGGAGCCUUCUUUGAAAAAUGCCAUGCCUAAUGUUCUACUACAGAUGUUUGCCUUGAGUCAAAUAUGGAGCUUAUGUAAAAUUAUAUGUGGUUGGUGGUGAGUAUUGCUUUUAUGAGAUAAAGAAUCAUUUCACAUUAUUCUCAUUUUACUUUAAUGCUUGGGGUCAUUUAAACUGAGCAAUAGCACUUGACUCUGAAGAAACAGUGGUAGAAAUGCAAAUAAAUGCCCCCAAAAUAGAAUAUUUUGACCUCAAGAAAUUAAUCUAAGAGUAGAAAAUUAUAUUCAGAAUCAAACAUUUCCUCAAGCAAUUGUAUUAUCAUAAUGUCUUAUAUAAUUUCAAACUUACUUUUACUUUGAAAUGGACUGUACAGUAGUAUUUCUUAAAUAUACAUUUAGUGUAGCACAUGAUUUAGAAAUUUUUUAAUUUUUAAAACAGCAAGAGUCUUGAACAAUUGGCAAUGGAAACCAAUGGUAAGUUUUUUUAACCACAGUAACACCAAUUACUUUAAGAAAUUCAGUGAAAAGAGGUGCCUGGGUAGGUCAGCCAGUUAAGCAUCUGACUCUUGAUUUUAGCUCAGGUCGUGAUCUUAAGGUUGUGGGAUCAAGCUCCAGUUAGGCUCUGUACUCAGUGUAGUCUGCUUGUCCCUCUACCUCAGCUCCUCUCCCACCACUCGCUAUGUCCCUCUCUCUUUUUCUAAAAUAAAUAAAUAAAUAAUUAAAAAAAGAAAAUUCAGUGAAAAAAAUCGAUAAAAUAUGAUGUGAUUUUUCUGCAUCUAUAUUAUUGUCUUUUCCCUUGGAUCCUUGUGUUGUUCCUUACUAUUUGUAAGACAUUGGGAAAAUUAUUAGUUUCUCACAUCUUGUUUCCUCAUCUGUUGAAUGGGCUGGUUUUAAAGAUCAAAUAAUUUAAUUCAUGUGCACAGCACAUAAUCAUUUCAUGUGUCAGCCAUUAUGACUAUUUAAGACAAGCACAUAAGUGUCAUUCUUUGAUAUGAUACUUGUAUUUUUUAAGACUUAAAUGUCAGUGCAAAUAAUUCUUUUUUUUAUAAUCAUUUGAAUGUUUUAUGUUUGCCAAAUAAAAUCUACUUUUCUAUUGGAAACUGUAUUUCCUAUUGCCUUUAAACUACUUGGGUGUUAAAAGUGUAACUAAUCAAUGUUUUUUGAAUGCUCCCUAUGAGUCAAGUACUUUCCAAGACAUAAAAAAACACCAUCACUUCCCUUAAAUUACUUAGGAUUUAUUGGCAAGGAGAAUAAUGUUAAUAAGCAAGUUUAAUCUAAAGCAGAGUGGGAAAAAUGCUUUCAGAGAAACAUAGAUCAAACUGCUCAAGGAGGCAGACAAGGUAUGGAUUAUACUAUUAGAACAAGGAAGAGCUUCAGAUAGUAGUAGAAUUUUGGUUCAGGAAGGCAGAGGAA
This 1666-nucleotide long non-coding RNA is filed under the name Canis lupus familiaris (dog). RNAcentral's name for it is "lncRNA (ENSCAFG00040007314.1)". Lineage: Eukaryota; Metazoa; Chordata; Mammalia; Carnivora; Canidae. The record is from RNAcentral.